GAUUAACGCUGGCGGCGUGCAUAACACAUGCAAGUCGAACGAUGAAACUUAAAUGAUUUCUUCGGAAUGAACUUAAGUGGAUUAGUGGCGGACGGGUGAGUAACGCGUGAGUAACCUGCCUUACACAAGGGGAUAGCCGUUGGAAACGACGAAUAAUACCCUAUGAAACUAUCACUUCGCAUGAAGCGAUAGUCAAAGUGUUAGCGGUGUAAGAUGGACUUGCGUCUGAUUAGCUAGUUGGUGAGAAAAAAGCCCACCAAGGCAACGAUCAGUAGCCGGCUUGAGAGAGUGUACGGCCACAUUGGGACUGAAACACGGCCCAGACUCCUACGGGAGGCAGCAGUGGGGAAUUUUGCACAAUGGGGGAAACCCUGAUGCAGCGACGCCGCGUGAUUUAGAAGGCCUUCGGGUUGUAAAAAUCUUUUGUAUAGGAAGAAAAUGACAGUACUAUACGAAUAAGGUCCGGCUAAUUACGUG
Molecule: ribosomal RNA, 477 nt
Filed under: uncultured bacterium
Lineage: Bacteria
Description: partial 16S ribosomal RNA
Rfam family: Bacterial small subunit ribosomal RNA
Source: RNAcentral